CAGGAGCCAAAUAAUGAGUGCCUUUGGAUUCCUGCCUUGCUGCUUGCUAUGAGACAGCCCUGACCACUCCCACUCCUAGACCUCAGUACCAAAACCCCUAAGCCUUCUCGGAAGGAGAGAAGGGACAGAAGACUGAGGAAAGAGAUGAUGGAUAUCUGCAUGGAUAUGUGGCUGUGAAAAUUACAAGAAAUUAAUAAUAUUAUAAUGAUAAUGAGUUACCAAAUGAUUAUUGUGGGCUACUUUCUAGAUGCUUUUUAUGUAUUUGUUUAAAUCUUCAACAACUCUAUGAAGUAGGUACUAUUAUUAUCAUUCCUUUUUCAUAUAUGAGGACAUUGAAGCACAGAGAAAAUAAGUAACUUCACCAAGGUCAACAGCUGGGUUAUACUGUUUCCUCUCACCGCAUUAACUGAGACCAUCCCCAUUUUUUUGCUUAGACUCUAUCUCUUCAAACCUGGCUGCAGAGUGAAACUCAGCCUUCCCAGCCCUCACAUCCCUGAUGCUUCUGAGGACAAUCCUGCAGGCCCUUUUGGUUCUGAGAACCUGCUGAUUGCUGUCAGAAACUGAAGUGAAAGUGGCGGGUACCAAAUGUAGGAGGCUGCAGUUUCCAGAAUCUUACACCUUCCUCUCUGGCAUGGUCUCCUGGGUGUAUUUUCUGACUCUUUUCUGGAAGGUGCAAUGGAAGCCACAUGGAACUUGAUUUCUGCAUGAAUUCCUGAGGGGGCUCAGCAAACCAAACUCUUUGGACUGACCUUCCCCUCUCUUUGAGGAUGGGCCACUUUCUUCCUGUUUUAUGUUACAAAACACAAAAAACAGAGACAUUUUCAAAAUAUAAUAAACAUUUGUGUUUCUACAACUGAAAUUAAACAGAAAUUAAUAUGUUGUCA
Gorilla gorilla gorilla (western lowland gorilla) is the source of this 884-nucleotide long non-coding RNA. RefSeq lists it as uncharacterized. The record is from RefSeq and is a predicted model, not a curated record. Lineage: Eukaryota; Metazoa; Chordata; Mammalia; Primates; Hominidae. The transcript is spliced from 2 exons.